Molecule: RNase P RNA, 191 nt
Filed under: Synechococcales cyanobacterium T60_A2020_003
Lineage: Bacteria; Bacillati; Cyanobacteriota; Cyanophyceae; Synechococcales
Description: Bacterial RNase P class A
Rfam family: Bacterial RNase P class A
About the family: Ribonuclease P (RNase P) is a ubiquitous endoribonuclease, found in archaea, bacteria and eukarya as well as chloroplasts and mitochondria.
Source: Rfam by way of RNAcentral
AGAGUAGGCGAGGGAGUUGCAAGCGAGCGAUCGCUUGAGGAAAGUCCGGGCUUCCGAAGAACCACACCUGCUGGGUAACGCCCAGUGCGUGCGAGCGUGAGGAUAGUGCCACAGAAACAUACCGCCGAUGGAGCUACGGCUCACAGGUAAGGGUGCAAGGGUGCGGUAAGAGCGCACCAGCAGCAUCGAGA